GUGCCAGCAGCCGCGGUAAUACAGAGGUCCCAAGCGUUGUUCGGAUUUACUGGGCGUAAAGGGUGCGUAGGCGGUCGGGUAAGUCUGGUGUGAAAUCUCCGAGCUUAACUCGGAAAUGGCAUUGGAUACUAUUCGGCUCGAGAGUUGGAGGGGGGACUGGAAUACUUGGUGUAGCAGUGAAAUGCGUAGAUAUCAAGUGGAACACCAGUGGCGAAGGCGAGUCCCUGGACAACUUCUGACGCUGAGGCACGAAAGCUAGGGGAGCAAACAGGAUUAGAUACCCUGGUAGUCC
Molecule: ribosomal RNA, 292 nt
Filed under: uncultured bacterium
Lineage: Bacteria
Description: partial 16S ribosomal RNA
Rfam family: Bacterial small subunit ribosomal RNA
Source: RNAcentral